Molecule: long non-coding RNA, 1162 nt
Organism: Sapajus apella (tufted capuchin)
Lineage: Eukaryota; Metazoa; Chordata; Mammalia; Primates; Cebidae
Exons: 2
Source: RefSeq, a predicted model, not a curated record
AAGGGGAGGGGAGGGGGAAGGGGAAGAUAGGCAUGCAUAAAGACCUGCAGGGCCAAUAGAACACAUUCUCCUGGGCCUAGGAGGAGAACAUGCCUAAAUCCCCCAGAAUCUCCUUCAUGAAAAAGGUCAGUCUUCCAGGGGGAAGACCACAGGAGUCCACAGGAGGCUGCCUCCUGGGAGAUUAUGGAAACAGGGGCUGUGGGCAGGCAGACUGGAGAGGCCUUUUGGCAAUGGUUUGACCUGGUGUGUGAAAUUUUUUUCCUGCUUAGAUAGUUGGCACACAUUUUAGAGGCAAAAUGGAAUUUAUUAACCGAAGAUAUUUGCCAAGGAUUGUUCUCUCCCCGAUCAACGGCCCCCUGCCAACUCCAUUCUUCAUUUUUAUUUUAUUUUUUAAACUUCUUCUUCCCAGGAUAGAGGACUUCAUCAAUAAGGUUCUUUCAUCUCCCUUUGUUGUUUGGAUCCUUAAGCCUGGCUUGAAAGAAGAGGGAGAAGGCUUCAGGGGAAAUGCUGUCUGCGCUGACCCACAGCAUGGCUUCCUUCAACAAAUGCAGAGAAGGAAAGCAAAGCCCAGAGAGGGAAAUUCUCACCCAAGGCCUUGUAGCUGCUGGCAGUGGAGUAGCCUCUAGUCUCUCAGGCCAGUGUCUUGCCACUGUGAAGAAGAGGAAUGGCCAAACCCACUGCGGAGAGAGAAUGUGUCAUUGACCACACUGUCUAUGAGAAUGGCAGGUCUUACCUUUAAAUUCCCUAAUGGAAUUUAAUGCAGAUUGAACCCACACAAAAAGCAACCAUUUUUUUUUUUGGCCACCUCUGAUUGGCUGCCUGCUAUGAGAGAAACAUCAGGAAGUACAUAUUGCCAUGGAGGGAAGUGAAGAUGGAGGACACCUCAUUUGUGGAACUGGGCACGGCCUUUGGGUCACAUGAGGCUCACCCCUGAUGAGCUUGAACAUGGCAGUUACUGAAUAUAACUCCAGAAACUGGUAUUAGGCUCUGUAUGGACAUGCAGAGGAAGAAGAACCUGUCGCCACAUCUACAGAGGGUUCAGGAAAGACACACUUGCAGUGACCCUAAGAAACCAUGGGCAAGUCUCCAUUUUUUCCCUCAGCCAAACCUGUAUGCACUGGUACAGCCAUACCAAUUAUUAAAAUAUUGAAAAAUUUCUGCA